CUCAAUGUGCUGCCCCAGAGUUUUGGGGUGCUGUGGCUCCUUCUGUGUUAAAGCUGCUUCUCACUCUUCUCUUCCAAGGAGGAAGCAAUUGAGACGAGAGAUUUUAUCCUACGUGAUUACCUUCCUCAUUAUAAGAAUGUCUUUAUGGAAGUAUCGGAGAACACCAUUGAGACUGGGGACUUAGUGCUUUUCAAAAUGCUGUCCAGCAGCAAUGCUAUGCUCUGCUUCAAGCAUGCAGUUGUCUAUUGUGGGGACGGAGAGGUCAUCCACUUCCAGAGUAAGUGCAUGUGCCCUGCCUUCAUGCCAUGGCAGCCUACAGAACGACAUGGUGAUGGCCAACUCUUCACUUUUCAGAGAUCAAAGGUUCAAGUACAGGGCGAAUAAUCAAAGAAGGAUUCCGGCUUAUGAGACAGCAGAGGGGAAAAGGCAAGGUUCUCAGGAAAAAGGAGGGGGUCAACCUCGAAACCUUCACUGAGAAAGUCAAGCAGCUGAUGAACAGCACAGCCGAGUACAGCGCACUGAACAACAACUGCAUCAACUUUGCUCUCUAUCUGCUGGAUCUGGGGAACUUCAGCUUUCAGCCCGUGAGUAUGGAGCCAGGAUGGGGCGUUUGCAGUGGGGCCAGACAAGUCCCAGGACAAAAGAUAUUCUUUUCCCGCAGCCGAAGAGCCAUGAAGAGGAACUUGAAAGUUUGACUAUGUCAGGUUUAAUCAGACGUUUGGUGAGUAGAAGGGCUUUGAACCACCUUUCUCCCCAGCUCUCAAUGUGCUGCCCCAGAGUUUUGGGGUGCUGUGGCUCCUUCUGUGUUAAAGCUGCUUCUCACUCUUCUCUUCCAAGGAGGAAGCAAUUGAGACGACAGAUUUUAUCCUAUGUGAUUACCUUCCUCAUUAUAACAAUGUCUUUAUUGAAGUAUCGGAGAACACCAUUGAGACUGGGGACUUAGUGCUUUUCAAAAUGCUGUCCAGCAGCAAUGCUAUGCUCUGCUUCAAGCAUGCAGUUGUCUAUUGUGGGGACGGAGAGGUCAUCCACUUCCAGAAGAUCGAAGGUUCAAGUACAGGGCAAAUAAGCAAAGAAGAAUUCCAGAUUAUGAGACAGCAGAGGGGAAAAGGCAAGGUUCUCAGGAAAAAGGACGGGGUCAACCUUGAAACCUUCACUGAGAAAGUCAAGCAGCUGAUGAACAGCACAGCCGAGUACGACUUUUUGAAAAACAACAGCAUCAACUUUGCUUUUUAUCUGCUGGAUCUGGGGAGUUUCAGCUUUCAGUCCCCGAAGAGCCAUGAAGAGGAACUUGAAAGUUUGACUGCACAGCGCAACAUGAUCGUCUGAGAGGUUUCCAGAGUCUCAUUCCCCAGCACACGCCCAGAAGAGCUUCGUCCCCACCAUUCGUUUUUCCACAUGUCUGCUUCCUUCAAAAGAUCUGUAGGCAUUCCUUUCCAUCUUUUUGUGCUGGAUCAUAUCGCAGCAGGAGCUCUGCAUCCCCUGCACAUGGGUGGAAAUAUUAAUCAGCUGCUUUAUUGAUUAUUUGCACCUGAAGACUGCCUGUUUUCACUGCCUUACUUCAAAUGGUCAUAACACUCAGAGUAAUUUCAGAUAGAAUUACUUGUUAAUAAUAGUGCUUAUCUGUGUAUAACAAUUCUUAUCAGCAACUUCUUGUACUACUAAUAUCCACAGCCAAAUAACAAUAUCCAAGGUAAUGGUAUCUUAAGUAAUUAUAAUAAAAAAAAUUAAUCCUUCUUAUACUAUUAAAUC
Chrysolophus pictus (golden pheasant) is the source of this 1749-nucleotide long non-coding RNA. Lineage: Eukaryota; Metazoa; Chordata; Aves; Galliformes; Phasianidae. The record is from Ensembl.